ACCUGGUUGAUCCUGCCAGAAUAAUAUGCUUUCUUUGGUGAUUAAGCCAUGCAAGUCUAAGUAUAAGCUUUUAUACAGCGAAACUGCGGAAGGCUCAUUAUAACAAUCUUAACGCUCGCAACCUAAAUAAAGCUUCGGCUUAACGGAUAACUCUGGGAAACUAUAGCUAAUACGUGUAGAGCAAGGGUCAAAUCUUGCUAGAUCACCCGUAUGGGUGUGAAGGAUUUAUUAGUCAUUUACAGAGAGACUUCGGUCUUGAUGGGGAGCCAACAAAAAAUUGGUGAAACAUGAUAACUAUCCGAAUCGCAGUACAAUUUAUUGUGGCGAUGGUAUGCAGCGGAGUUUGUCUUAUUAAGUUGUAGUUAGUAUAGAGGACUAACUAGCUAUUGAUGAGUACGGGGAAUGAUUGUUCGAUUCCGGAGAAGCUACAUGAGAAUCUGUAGCUACAACUAAGGUUCGGCAGCAGGCGCGAAACUUACCCAAAUGUUAAAUCGAUGAGGUAGAGAAGAAGAAUAUACAUGUAGGCCAUUAUGGUGCUAUUAGUAAAUGAGGUGUGUGUAAAACAACGCUGAGUAACAAAGAGAGGGCCAGUCUGAUGCCAGCAGCCGCGGUAAUAUCAGUUCUCUGAGUAUAUUUUUAUUUGCUGCUUUUAAAAGGCCCGUAGUCUAUGUUUGAGAAAGUUGAAAUGGUUUGUCCACAAAUGUGAGACUGCCAGCAACAUCUCUUCGGAUAGUUAAAUUUAUUUAGCUGUCAUUUUACCAUGAAUAAAGCUGAGUGCUUAAAGCAGGCGUAACUAGCCUUUGAAAGUUUUAGCAUGGGAUAAUAGAAUAGGACCGUGUCGUUCGUCGGAUGAAGAGCUUGCUCUGAUUCCAAUGUUGGUUCCUUUGAACAUAUGGUAAUGAUUAAUAGGAGUGGAUGGGGUUCUUACUACUAGACGGCCAGAGGUGAAAUUUUAUGAUCCGUCUAUGAGUAACUGAAGCGAAGGCUAUGAACCAAUACACCUCCAUUGAUUAAGGACGAAAGUUGGGGGUUCGAAGACGAUUAGAUACCGUCGUAGUCCCAACUGUAAACGAUGUCGACUGAGGAUUAGGGUUAAUCUAUUUAUAAAGAUGAUUCUAGCACUCUCAGGGAAACCUUAAGUUUGGACUGAGGGGGGAGUACGAUCUCAAGAUUGAAACUUAAAGGCAUUGACGGAAAGCCACCACAAGAUGUGGAUUAUGCGGUUUAAUUUGACUCAACACGGGAGACCUCACCAAUGCAGGAGCUAGAGAGGAUUGACAAGUUAAUAGGCUUCUCAUGAUUAUAGUAAACGUGGUGCAUGGCCGAUUUAAGUUAGUGGAUUAAUCAGUCUGCUUAAUUGCGAUAACUAGCGAGAUCUCAGCCCAUUAAAUAGUACAUAGAACUUAUGAUACUUCGGUAUCGUUCUAUGAGACUUCUUAGAGGGACGAUGUGAUUUUUUUUGAACACAGGGAAGUUUGAGGCGACAUCAGGUCAGUAAUGCCCGUAGGUGUGUUGGCCCACACGCGUAAUACAAUGGCAAGGACAACGAGCUUUAAUAUAUCCUUAAUCGAGAGAUUUGGGUAAUCUUUAAUCCUUGCCGUAUCCGGGAUUGUCGUUUGUAACUUUUCGACAUGAACUUGGAAUAUCUUGUAAGCGUCAUUCAUAAAAUGGCACUGAAUAAGUCACUGGCUUUUGUACACACCGCCCGUCGCUAUUGAAAAUAUGACCAGCUUAGAAGAUGCGGGAUGGCGGAGAAGAUAGCUUUCUAUCCCUUUGUCCAGAACGCAUUUAAUGAGUUGGUUGGAGAUUCAAUAAAAGUCGUAACAAGGCAUCCGUAGGUGAACCAGCGGAAG
This 1853-nucleotide ribosomal RNA is filed under the name Tubulinea group 03 sp. ROD5G. RNAcentral describes it as "partial 18S ribosomal RNA". It matches the Rfam family "Eukaryotic small subunit ribosomal RNA". The record is from RNAcentral. Lineage: Eukaryota; Tubulinea.